AUUGAACGCUGGCGGCAUGCCUUACACAUGCAAGUCGAACGGCAGCACGGGAGCAAUCCUGGUGGCGAGUGGCGAACGGGUGAGUAAAGUAUCGGAACGUGCCCAGUCGUGGGGGAUAACGUAGCGAAAGUUACGCUAAUACCGCAUACGAUCUAUGGAUGAAAGCGGGGGAUCGCAAGACCUCGCGCGAUUGGAGCGGCCGAUAUCAGAUUAGGUAGUUGGUGGGGUAAAGGCUCACCAAGCCGACGAUCUGUAGCUGGUCUGAGAGGACGACCAGCAACACUGGGACUGAGACACGGCCCAGACUCCUACGGGAGGCAGCAGUGGGGAAUUUUGGACAAUGGGCGAAAGCCUGAUCCAGCCAUGCCGCGUGCAGGAUGAAGGCCUUCGGGUUGUAAACUGCUUUUGUACGGAACGAAAAGGUUUGGCCUAAUAAGCUGAGCUCAUGACGGUACCGUAAGAAUAAGCACCGGCUAACUACGUGCCAGCCGCAGUAAGAC
RNAcentral lists this ribosomal RNA (500 nucleotides) under uncultured bacterium. RNAcentral describes it as "partial 16S ribosomal RNA". It matches the Rfam family "Bacterial small subunit ribosomal RNA", at positions 30 to 526 of the family's 1533-position model. The record is from RNAcentral.